Molecule: long non-coding RNA, 1080 nt
Organism: Bombus terrestris (buff-tailed bumblebee)
Lineage: Eukaryota; Metazoa; Arthropoda; Insecta; Hymenoptera; Apidae
Exons: 3
Source: RefSeq, a predicted model, not a curated record
CCAUAUUUAAGUCUUUCGCAAGAAGAUAGAAAUCUGUUGUUAGAGAAAGUAAACAUAGUGUUUCACGCCGCGGCCACUGUGAGAUUCAACGAGCCGUUACACGUCGUUACGCGAAUCUACAUGAGAUUGGGGAGAAAGUUUAUACUACGAGCUUGAAACCUUCAGAGAUGAUCGAUAUGUGUGACAAAUUCGAAAAACGUCUAUCAACCAAAUAGAAAAAAGAUUUUAAAAUCUUAUCCGAACACAUACACAUUCAGUAAGAAUUUAGCAGAGCAAAUUGUAGCAACCAAGUGCAAAGAUAUGCCAGUUGCGAUAGUUCGGCCAAGCAUAAUUGGUGCCUCUUUGAAAGAGCCAUGUCCUGGUUGGAUACAGAAUAUUUCUGCAUUAACAAAUUCAGAUUAUAAGACAGUAGUAUGAAACUAAUGGCGAUCCAGCUAUCGAAACGAAACAAAGGAGAAACUCGAAAGUGGUGUACAUGCAGUAGAAUUUGCAAAUAUACAUAGUGUUAGGAAAGGCCGAAUGAUAUACGCUGUAUGUACUGAUAUAAUGAACUGGCUUCACUGCGAAACAGCUAAUGAAAGGAUAAUGAAGAGGUGCGUUUUGAAAUGUACGUAUUUGAGAAAUAGUCUCAAUGACUGUGAGCACAAAAAGAUUGCAAUUAAUUAUGUCGAAAGUAUUAUGUGACUUAGCAGCCAAGAAGACAUGAAAUCCAUAUAUACUUAAAAGAUUUGUCAUUCAAUUUUAAUCUAUGUUUCAAUAAAUGAAAUUUCUUAUUAAAGUGAUUGUACCGUUAUCAGAAUUGUUCUGCCGCCCUGUUGAGACGGAUACAGGAGGCUCUAUUGUAUUUCAGAUUACCCGGUUGAAAUUUUACUGUCAUUGCAAACUGAUGAGCAAGAUGUGAUAAUGUAAAUGAGCACAGCGGCCAAUGAAAUCAACCAGAACAUAAAAUUUGUAUAUAUUAGGUAUCUCAUAUUAUAUUCGUAUCUUUAUUAUAAUAUCAUUUAUUCUGUAAUUUAAUUGUGUACAUAUCUAUGUAUCUAUUGAUAUGUACGUAUCUGUUAUUGUAUACAUAUAUAUCUA